Taeniopygia guttata (zebra finch) is the source of this 485-nucleotide non-coding RNA. NCBI's taxonomy places the organism in Eukaryota, Metazoa, Chordata, Aves, Passeriformes, Estrildidae. The record is from RefSeq and is a predicted model, not a curated record.
UCCAACUCCAUAUUGCAAGGCGCUGAGUAACAGCUUAUGAUCUCUAACAUGCAAUGGCUCCAGGGUUUGUUUACCAACAUCCACUGGAGACUCCAGCUUUUCUGUAGAAACAGAAACUGAGCCCAGGCUUAUCCAGGAAGCUCAAAAGUCCCUGUGGGCACAUCCACAGAGAAGACAGCCACAGCUCAGCCUCCUGUUUUACCUCUUGGACUGCUGUGUCCCUCUGAGACAGACUUCAUUGAGAUCUCUGUGAAAUGGAUGAUGUGACUUACCAGUAUCGUACAAGCUGUUCCAAGAAUAUCAGCAAGGCACUGGAAUAUGACAGGGGGACUGGAGACUUUCCUGAGAAGGUCCUACCCAGUGAUGGAAAAUAUAUUUGUGUUAUUAAUUUAGCACAAGUGUCUUCUAUAAUGCUAAGGUUUACUUUCAAAUAAAACAUAAAUUGCACAUCUGGUUGGAAGAAAUAAAUGCAAUAGUGCUUCAAA